Molecule: long non-coding RNA, 1161 nt
Filed under: Marmota monax (woodchuck)
Lineage: Eukaryota; Metazoa; Chordata; Mammalia; Rodentia; Sciuridae
Source: RNAcentral
AGGGAGUUCAGACAUGUAGAAGCCCUUACACUACCAUACGUCUAAUCCUUUGUAACAGUUCCUACUAAAUUGUUUUCCUUUUAAUUUCCAGUUAUAAUUUUUCUACUUUAUGCCUUAUCUCAAGAAAAACUUGGUUUUUCAAGUUCCUUUGCACAUGUGCUUGCCUUUUCCUUGCUUCAAUGAUGAAUUCCUGCUUGUUCAAUAUAGCUGAAGUGUUAUAGGGGUUAGCAUCCCUGAUGCAAGAAGAGAAAUGAACAAAGUACUUGGGAUCAGAGAAAGACUAUCUCUUAAAGGCUCCCACAACAUUAUUCCCAUGUUAGAGGUUUUGCUACUUAUCUUCCCUUUGCCUUGGUUAAAUUCUGUCAUUCAACUUUGCAUUCUUAGUUCCUAGCACAUUGCGUAUCCAAUAAAUGCUCUUUAAAUUAGAGGAGUAAUAGGAAACACUAUUUUUAAAAAUGAAUAGGUAUUUUAAUUCUAGUUUCUGUGUGUUUAAUUUUAUUUUCAUAUGGAUUUAAGAAAACAAGCGUUUCCUUAAAUUUUGAGGUUCAGGUAAAUACUUGCUUCAUGAGUAAUUGGGAUUAUUCAGUCACCUGUGUUAUGUGGAAGCAUCAGGAGACAAAUUACUUUGUUCAUUGCCCAGCGAAUCAUAUUACUCUCACUUAGAGGUUCUUUAUGUCCUUAAGGGCUAUGAUUCUGUUUUACCACAAUCUCAUGAAAAGAAGUAUAAUUGUGACUUUUCAAAAAGGAAAUGAGGGCUGGGAGUGUUGCUCAGUUUCAACGCUUGGACCCUGGGUUCAAUCCCUAGUACUACACAACAAAGGAAACGGAAUAUAAUACCUCAGUUUAAGAGGACUGGUGAAGCUGGAUGUGGAAGAAGAAAGGAAGGAAGGGUGACGGCUUAGAGAGCCACUAUCGUUUGGGCACAUAUUCAGAAAAUAAGAAUGUGUUUAUGUACAGCACCACUAUUUUUUAAAACAUCAGUGGAAAUGCUAUGAAUUUGUGUUUUUAGUGUUUUUGAAUUAAACGGUUUCUCACAAGCACAGCGCAAGAUUUAAAAAUAUGUGUACCUUAUAGGUUGUUGAUUGGUUUUGAUAAAUUGAUUUCAUAAAGUGUUGUACAGAGUGCAUUCAAUCUUAAGUGCAUGAAAAUGCUUGUCUCAGC